GCAGCCGGCCGGUCUGCCGCUGACGCCGCAAGGCGAAAGAGGAAAGUCCGGGCAACGCAGAGCAUCCUACUUCCUAACAGAAAGCUAUCUGCAAAGGUGGAGUAACGUAGAAGAAAACAACCGCCACAAUUCCUACGGGAAACGGGGUAAGGGUGAGAAGGUGGGGUAAGAGCCCACCAGCCGCAUGGUGACAUGACGGGCUGUACGUCUUAGGAGUUGUAAGGUCAUGUAAACCGACAUUAUGAGGGUUGCUCGCCCCACGUCGGAGGGUAGACCGCUAGAG
RNAcentral lists this RNase P RNA (283 nucleotides) under Bacteroides sp. RNAcentral's name for it is "partial RNase P RNA component class A". It matches the Rfam family "Bacterial RNase P class A", at positions 1 to 284 of the family's 367-position model. From Rfam's summary of the family: Ribonuclease P (RNase P) is a ubiquitous endoribonuclease, found in archaea, bacteria and eukarya as well as chloroplasts and mitochondria. The record is from RNAcentral. Lineage: Bacteria; Pseudomonadati; Bacteroidota; Bacteroidia; Bacteroidales; Bacteroidaceae.